RNAcentral lists this transfer RNA (78 nucleotides) under Pseudomonas putida. RNAcentral describes it as "tRNA-Arg". It matches the Rfam family "tRNA". Rfam says of the family: Transfer RNA (tRNA) molecules are approximately 80 nucleotides in length. Their secondary structure includes four short double-helical elements and three loops (D, anti-codon, and T loops). Further hydrogen bonds mediate the characteristic L-shaped molecular structure. tRNAs have two regions of fundamental functional importance: the anti-codon, which is responsible for specific mRNA codon recognition, and the 3' end, to which the tRNAs corresponding amino acid is attached (by aminoacyl-tRNA synthetases). tRNAs cope with the degeneracy of the genetic code in two manners: having more than one tRNA (with a specific anti-codon) for a particular amino acid; and 'wobble' base-pairing, i.e. permitting non-standard base-pairing at the 3rd anti-codon position. Lineage: Bacteria; Pseudomonadati; Pseudomonadota; Gammaproteobacteria; Pseudomonadales; Pseudomonadaceae. The record is from RNAcentral.
GCUCCUGUAGCUCAACUGGAUCAGAGCGAAGCCCUACGAAGGCUUAGGUUGUUGGUUCGAACCCAGCCAGGAGCGCCA